GGGGGUGAGAUUUCAGGCCACACACUGUGGAAGGUAAUCAUGUCUGAUCACAAAUUUUGGGUCUCCACCUUACUUCCAAUCUAUGUUGUGAAUGCCCAGUUGAGACCCACGGAAAAGAGCUCAUGGGUGAGUGUGAAGUGCUUCUCUGUCUUAAGUUCCCAGAGAUCCUUGCCUCUUGGAGGCCAGCAAACACUAACUCUUGAGGAAUUCAUGACAAUAUCAUCUGAUUCCUCCUUCCCAGCUUGUAUGGCAGUCUCCCACCCUCAUGUGUUC
Molecule: long non-coding RNA, 273 nt
Filed under: Homo sapiens (human)
Lineage: Eukaryota; Metazoa; Chordata; Mammalia; Primates; Hominidae
Source: RNAcentral